Molecule: signal recognition particle RNA, 261 nt
Filed under: Lachnospiraceae bacterium
Lineage: Bacteria; Bacillati; Bacillota; Clostridia; Lachnospirales; Lachnospiraceae
Description: signal recognition particle sRNA large type
Rfam family: Bacterial large signal recognition particle RNA
About the family: The signal recognition particle (SRP) is a universally conserved ribonucleoprotein involved in the co-translational targeting of proteins to membranes. Archaeal SRP consists of a 7S RNA and homologues of the eukaryotic SRP19 and SRP54 proteins.
Source: RNAcentral
UCGCGCAGCCGGGGAGUCAGCGGUGCCCUGUACCUGCAAUCCGCUACAGCAGGGGUGAUGUUCGGCCGAGGGUGGGGCGUGUUGCGCAGCCCCAUAUAAGUGAUGUUGACGUUUGGGUCUCACACAACAGGAACCCGUGAACCGUGUCAGGGUAGGAAUACAGCAGCACUAAGCGGUGCAUUCUGUGUGUUGUGAGGCAGCCUGGACCGAGUUAACUGUAUGGGUAACGGCGAUAUUUUUCAUUCGAAGCAGAACGCGCGG